CUUUUUAUUUUAAUACAUUUUAAAUAUAUCACAAUUGUCUGCACUCUGAUAAAAGAAUGUAGAGCUGGAAUUUUAAUUUGAUUAUCAUCCCCAAUCUUCCCAGGCUUUCGCAGACUCUUUUGCUAUCUGGAAACCCAUGUCCACCUCUGACUUCCACUCAAAAUUGCUUUCCUCACAGUCUGACUGCGAGAGUUGUGAAAAAUUGGGAUGUGCUUCUGAGGUGGGCUGUGGAAUGCCA
RNAcentral lists this long non-coding RNA (238 nucleotides) under Homo sapiens (human). RNAcentral describes it as "non-protein coding CASC15:9". The record is from RNAcentral. Lineage: Eukaryota; Metazoa; Chordata; Mammalia; Primates; Hominidae.